RNAcentral lists this non-coding RNA (97 nucleotides) under Mediterraneibacter massiliensis. RNAcentral describes it as "S10-Clostridia ribosomal protein leader". It matches the Rfam family "S10-Clostridia ribosomal protein leader". Lineage: Bacteria; Bacillati; Bacillota; Clostridia; Lachnospirales; Lachnospiraceae. The record is from RNAcentral.
UGAUAGCUAUGAAGCGUGAGGUUGCUGCUGAUAGUGUGAAAGCACUGUAUGGCAGGUUUUCCGUGGAGCGAAUGUCAAGUUAGGAAACUGGCGACAA